Orcinus orca (killer whale) is the source of this 4032-nucleotide long non-coding RNA. RefSeq lists it as uncharacterized. The transcript is spliced from 2 exons. The record is from RefSeq and is a predicted model, not a curated record. NCBI's taxonomy places the organism in Eukaryota, Metazoa, Chordata, Mammalia, Artiodactyla, Delphinidae.
CCUUGCCGUCCCGCCCCUUCCACUCUGUCGCAUGGCACCACGGGAAUUGUAGUUUUCUUCCGGGGAGCCAACCUGAGCUCCAAUCUGACCCAGCGCUUCGCGGUUUAGGGGAACUACUUAUCCCAGCAUUCAUGGCGCGGAGGCGGGUCGGGCCUUUUUUUUUCUUUGGUGAAACACGAGGAAAACAGGGGCGUGUGGUUGGGUUUGCGAGGUUUUCUGGCUUCUGGUCUCUCCCGGGAAGUUGGGCUGUGUUUAGCUACUGAAUUUUGCAGAGCUGGCAUUCUAUACGAAGAGGUUACUCAACUCCUGAGGCGAAGCACAAAACGCGGGGGGGCGGGAGUAGGAGGGAAGGGGAGGGAGCUUGUGGGAAAACAGUUUCGGGCUGUUUUCCUAUCUGUGGAAAAAGUUUUUGGUAUGACUACGUUUUUGUGGGAAACCCAGACCGAGGAGAAGCCCUGGCGUUUUUCGGGUCCUGGAGAUCCCGCAGCUAACACCACGGGAUCUGAUAGCAGUUCCGCUGACUGACGCCCCAGACUGUCUGUGAGGGCGCCUGCCGGGGGGAAACGCGCGUCCCGACCUCGGCGCCGGGAUGGGGCCGAUGUCGGGCUGGAGGCCGCCUCCAGAUCCUCGCAUUGUCCCUGCGAGGAACGCGCUGGCUUGCGGGGCGCACACUGCCGCUUCUUGAGGUGGAGCUGCUGACAAAUGGACUUAACGGGGCUGCUUUUCGCUUCCACCCCCUGCCUCUCCGCUUUCUCCUCGAGGGAACUGGGAGCCGGUCUAAUAGCAUUUAAAAGGGACGUGUAGCCCCUCCGAGUCUCGGUCAGCCUGGGGCUCCCGGAGCCCGAAGGCGCGCGCCCGACCGAGAGCGCAGGGAAAGCGCAGCUCCGGGAUCGUCGUCGGCGCGCGCGUGUCUGUGUACGUGUCUGUGUGCGCGCGCGUGUGCAUGUGUACGUGUGCGUGCGUGCGUGUGGAGGGCGGGGUGGAAGGUUGGGAGAGGCUAGUACGAAAGCUGCGCUUUUGCUAAUUGCAGCGCGUCAUUAUUUAUCAGUACGUAUAUCUUGUUUAACUAUCCCAUUGUUUAAACAAAGAUAGAAAGCAGUAGGGUUUUUUUAAAGUUCUUUUAUAUUUACUGAGUAAACUUAUUGAUAGAUGAAUUUUUAAAAAUGUAAACUGUCAUCUGCCCUGAAAUUCAGUGCCAUUCAGUCCAUCUGUGCACUUAUGUUUUAGGAUAUAGCAAAGGAAGAAAAAAAAAAUGUAGUGGGCAAAAGAAAGAUGCUGAAUGGUGAGUAUUUGUGUUAUCUUUUCAAGCUGCACUGCCCAACAGUGUGUCUGCUAGCCUUAUGUGGAUAUUAGCACUCGAAAUGUGGUUAUUGUGACUGAAAAACUGAACUGUUAAUUUUAAUUCAUUUAAAAUUUUAAAACUGAUUUCAGUUAUUGGAAAACUUUUAAAUAUGUUUGGAACAACUUGGUUAGGAAUCUAUUUUUUCAACUUAAAUUUUAUGAAAUCUAAAUUUAGCAUCUGAACUGUGAUGUGCCGGUAUGUAUAAACUACCAGCAGGAUUUCAAAGACUUAGUACCAGACUUUUUUUAAAGAAUAUUGAUUAGCUUAGUAACAUUUUUUAUAUUGAUUACAUGUUCAAAUGAUUAUAUUUUGGCUAUACUGGGUUAAAUAAAACAUUAAAAUUUACCUGUUCCCAUUUUUCAAAAUGUGCCUACUAUAACAUUUAAAACUACACAUGUGGCUCACAUUAUAUGUGUAUUUAGAUAUUGUUGGCUUGAAGUAUUAAAACGCAGAAUAAUACUGUUUAUAGAUGUAUUUUCUUAAAUAGUAAAAAUGAGACUAUAUCGAUAGAAUGGACACACACCAGCUUCAAGGUGGUGGUCAUCUCUUAGGAGAGAGGCCAAUGGAUGGUAUCUGGGAAUGGCUAAAAGGUGGUUUCCAUUUGUAAGUUUUUAUUUGUUAAAAACAGUCUAAAGCAAACAUGAUAUUGGGAUGUUGGAUUUUCAUAUUUUUUGUAAUUUUAUAUAAUUUAAAAUAAUUUAUAAUAUUGUUUGGUUCUUGCCCUUAAAAGUUUAUAGUCUACCUUCUGCAAAUGUGAUCAAAUCAGUUCAUGUAUGGUAUAGUUAUAUAUCAAUUUCAUAUGAAUUUUACUGAAGUGACGAAUUGUGACUAUGCUUCCUUUACAGACAAUACAGUAAUUUUAGAAGUUUCAGUCACUCAUUUAUUGCAUGCUAGGAUCUUUUCUAGGCUCUGGGGAUACAAAAAUAAUUGGGAGAGGGUCCUAGCCAUUUUGGAGCUCACAGGUAGCUUAACAAGCACAUGAUACAUGCUAUAGACUGAAUGUUUGUGUCCCCACAAAAUUCAUAUGUUGAAACCUAAUCCUCGUGUGAUAAUAUUUGAAGGUAGGGUCUUUGGGAGGUGAUUAGGCCAUGAGGGUGGAGCCCUCAGGAAUGGGAUUAGUGCCCUCAGAAAAGAGGCUCUAGAGAGCAACCUCACUCCUCCUGCCAUCCAUGGGAGAAGACGCCCAUCUAUCAACCAGAAAGUGGACACUCACCAGCCAUGAACCGGUCAGCACCUUGAUCUUGAACUUCCCACCCUCCAGAACUAUCAAGAAAUAGAACAUUGUCAACAGGGCCAGCUUUCUGGGCAUGCAAACAGCGCAGAGGCACAGGGCAGAGGCUCAGAAGCCCACCCCUUCCGACCCCUUACUCUCUCCACUCUGCUUGUGGUUCAGUGCUCAUCAUCAUCAUGAAAUUCUUAACCAUUCAUCUUUGAAUUUCUGGGUUCUGGCGGAUCUCUCCUUGCCCAUCUCUGCACUGGCCUGAGCACUCCGAGCUGACGCAGGAUGUGACCGCUGUGGUGCGCAGCCCCUCCCUCUCCCCGCCCCUCGCUGAGUUGGGGGUCAGGCCGCGGCUGCCUGUGAGGGUCUGCCUUUGACCAAAAAGAAUCGCUAUACCCAAGGGAGAGCGACGUUAAAUAGCAAAUUAGAAAACACCAUGACAUGUCGAGAGAGAGAGAGACGACGGAAGAAAGAAAGAAGAUUUUUGCAUUGGGUCCCACCAGUUGUGCCGCUGGCCUUGAUUGACAGCCCUGAGGGACCGCAUGUGCUCCUCCUCCAUCUAACCCCUCACCGGCCAGCAGCAGCUAUCCUGAUUUCUGGUAUUCACUACCUGCCUUUUCUUUAUAAUUUUACCGCACAAUUAUGAACUCUAAAAAGACAUUUUAGUUUUUUGUGUGUUUUUGAACUUUUUUAAAGUGGAAUCGUGUACUUUGUUAUUGUUUUCUCUGGCUUCUUCACUGUCUUGAAGAUCUGCUUGUACCUCACUUAACUAGCUCUUUUCAUUGUGGAUGAAUAAAAUACACUUUAUUUAACCAUUUUAUUGUUGAUGGACAUAGGGGUUGUUUCCAGUUUAGGGAUAUUAAAAGCAACCUUGCCAUGAUCAUUCGUGUACAUGUGCCCUGAUACCUCUGUGCUUACAGUUUAAUAGGACAGGUAUUUAGGAACAGAAUUGCUGAGUCAUAGAGUAUGCAUAGCUGCAACUUUACUGGGUACUUCCAAACUUUGACACUUCCACAAGCCUUUUUUUUUUUUUUUUUAAACGAUCCAAUGGAUUUGUCUGUUAUCUCGCGAUUUUACACUGAGUGUUCCUGAUUACUAAUGAGGUUAUAUGUUAAUUGGUCUUUGGGCUUUCCUCUUUGGAAGCUUCUGUUUAGGACUUCAGCUGUUCUUCUAUUGGGUUUGUGACUUUUUCUAUUGAUUUGUAGUUCUUUAUAUAUUCUGAAUAAGAGCCGUUUCUCGAAGUUAUGUAUUGCAAAUACCUUUCCUACUCUAUCACUUGCCUUUUGACUGUGGUGGCGACUUUAGGUUAAAGUCUUUUAAUUUUUUAAAAAAUAUUUAUUUAUUUAAUUUGGUGGCACCAGGUCUUAGUUGUGGCACUCGGGCUCCUUAGUUGUGGCAUGCGAACUCUUAGUUGCAGCAUGCAUGUGGGAUCUAGUUCCCUGACCAGGGAUCGAACCCCGGCCCGCUGCAU